GCGCUAUCAGAUGAGCCUAGGUCGGAUUAGCUAGUUGGCGGGGUAAAGGCCCACCAAGGCGACGAUCCGUAACUGGUCUGAGAGGAUGAUCAGUCACACUGGAACUGAGACACGGUCCAG
This 120-nucleotide ribosomal RNA is filed under the name uncultured bacterium. RNAcentral's name for it is "partial 16S ribosomal RNA". It matches the Rfam family "Bacterial small subunit ribosomal RNA", at positions 215 to 334 of the family's 1533-position model. The record is from RNAcentral.